Molecule: ribosomal RNA, 498 nt
Filed under: uncultured bacterium
Lineage: Bacteria
Description: partial 16S ribosomal RNA
Rfam family: Bacterial small subunit ribosomal RNA
Source: RNAcentral
AUUGAACGCUGGCGGCAUGCUUUACACAUGCAAGUCGAACGGCAGCGCGGGGCAACCUGGCGGCGAGUGGCGAACGGGUGAGUAAUACAUCGGAACGUACCCAGAAGUGGGGGAUAACGUAGCGAAAGUUACGCUAAUACCGCAUACGUUCUACGGAAGAAAGUGGGGGACCUUCGGGCCUCAUGCUUUUGGAGCGGCCGAUGUCUGAUUAGCUAGUUGGGGAGGUAAAGGCUCACCAAGGCGACGAUCAGUAGCUGGUCUGAGAGGACGACCCGCCACACUGGGACUGAGACACGGCCCAGACUCCUACGGGAGGCAGCAGUGGGGAAUUUUGGACAAUGGGCGCAAGCCUGAUCCAGCAAUGCCGCGUGAGUGAAGAAGGCCUUCGGGUUGUAAAGCUCUUUUGUCAGGGAAGAAACGGCCGAGGCUAAUACCUUUGGCUAAUGACGGUACCUGAAGAAUAAGCACCGGCUAACUACGUGCCAGCCGCCGCGGUAA